GACGAACGCUGGCGGCGUGCUUAACACAUGCAAGUCGAACGGAAAGGCCCUGCUUUUGUGGGGUGCUCGAGUGGCGAACGGGUGAGUAACACGUGAGUAACCUGCCCUUGACUUUGGGAUAACUUCAGGAAACUGGGGCUAAUACCGGAUAGGAGCUCCUGCUGCAUGGUGGGGGUUGGAAAGUUUCGGCGGUUGGGGAUGGACUCGCGGCUUAUCAGCUUGUUGGUGGGGUAGUGGCUUACCAAGGCUUUGACGGGUAGCCGGCCUGAGAGGGUUGCCGGCCACAAUGGGACUGAGGUAGGGACCAGACGCGAACGGGAGGCAACGGGGGGAAAUAUUGCGGAGUAGGGGGACGCCUGAUACGACGGCGCCGGGAGCGGAAAAACGGCCUUCGGGUUAUAAACCACUUUGGACUGUGACGAGGCGUGCGUGACGGUAAUGGGUAAAAAAGCACCGGCUAACUACGUG
RNAcentral lists this ribosomal RNA (468 nucleotides) under uncultured bacterium. RNAcentral describes it as "partial 16S ribosomal RNA". It matches the Rfam family "Bacterial small subunit ribosomal RNA", at positions 28 to 507 of the family's 1533-position model. The record is from RNAcentral.